This 574-nucleotide ribosomal RNA is filed under the name uncultured bacterium. Its description in RNAcentral is "bacterial SSU rRNA". It matches the Rfam family "Bacterial small subunit ribosomal RNA", at positions 91 to 661 of the family's 1533-position model. The record is from RNAcentral.
UAAAGCGGCGGACGGGUGAGUAACGCGUGGGAAUCUACCCAGUAGUGGGGGACAACAGUUGGAAACGACUGCUAAUACCGCAUACGCCCUACGGGGGAAAGCAGGGGAUCUUCGGACCUUGUGCUAUUGGAUGAGCCCGCGUGAGAUUAGCUAGUUGGUGGGGUAAUGGCCUACCAAGGCGACGAUCUCUAGCUGGUUUGAGAGGAUGAUCAGCCACACUGGGACUGAGACACGGCCCAGACUCCUACGGGAGGCAGCAGUGGGGAAUAUUGCACAAUGGGCGCAAGCCUGAUGCAGCCAUGCCGCGUGUGUGAAGAAGGCCUUAGGGUUGUAAAGCACUUUCAGUAGGGAGGAAAGGUUGUAACUUAAUACGUUGCAGCUGUGACGUUACCUACAGAAGAAGGACCGGCUAACUCCGUGCCAGCAGCCGCGGUAAUACGGAGGGUCCGAGCGUUAAUCGGAAUUACUGGGCGUAAAGCGCGCGUAGGCGGUUAGUUAAGCUAGAUGUGAAAGCCCCGGGCUCAACCUGGGAACUGCAUUUAGAACUGGCUGACUAGAGUGCAGCAGAGGAUAA